GGACCAAAACUAAAAAAUAAACCAAACUUUGGCAUAAAUACUCAGUUCCCAAGAGAGAUUGAAGAGAGAAGAAAAAAAUUGUACCCCGUGAUGAAAGAGGCAAAGAAAAAAGGAAAAAGAGCAUACAUGAUAAAAGAUAAGCUGUUUAUCGAAGGAAAUAUUUUUAAACCGGAAAUUAAGAAACAAUCACCUGGUGAACAAAAAACCCA
RNAcentral lists this long non-coding RNA (209 nucleotides) under Mytilus galloprovincialis (Mediterranean mussel). Lineage: Eukaryota; Metazoa; Mollusca; Bivalvia; Mytilida; Mytilidae. The record is from RNAcentral.